CAGCGGUCAAAGGCACAGCACAUCAGUGCUACAGGCGUCACUACAGACUUCCUGGUUCAAAUCCAGGCUGCGUUUCUAUCAAAGUAAGUGCCUUAUUACGUUAUAAUAGUUUCUGCUGUAGCUCACUGUAUGUAUGGAUCAUAAUAUAUUCCUUAUAACCGCGGACACGUGAGAAACCACAAACAUUAUUUGCCAAUAUCAUAACUGGAGCUGGACAUCUUUGGAGCAGAAGCACGAGGACAGCUUUUGUAUGCUAACGUACACUCCUUAACAGUCUUACUGGAUGAAAACACAGCAAGAAAACACAUAUGCCAAUAUGCAGACUUUGCAGUGCCUCCUUGUGCGACUACCUUGAGCAGCAGUUUGAGGGACUUUGCAGGGAAAAUGCCGUGAGGCGUAAGGGAUUGUUUACAGCAGGACGACCCCCAGUGGAUGGGCGCCGAGGGGUGUGGUGCUCCUCCAGCAGCUCUCUCAUGAGGUUCUCUGUAUUUUUGGUAGGUAAUUACUUUACCUAAGAGGGAGUGGGGAGGAUGAAGAAAGUUAGAGGAUGAGGCAGUGGGUAGGUGGGUGAGAUAUUGUCACUAUAAUUGCAUAAUGGAUUUGUAUGUGAACUGUACAUCCAAUUACAAAAAUAGCUUGUUCAGUAAUCAUCUCACCUGUUAGUUGGCGGUGA
This is a long non-coding RNA of Salvelinus fontinalis (brook trout), 673 nucleotides long. RefSeq lists it as uncharacterized. The transcript is spliced from 3 exons. The record is from RefSeq and is a predicted model, not a curated record. NCBI's taxonomy places the organism in Eukaryota, Metazoa, Chordata, Actinopteri, Salmoniformes, Salmonidae.